AAAUUGAAGAGUUUGAUCAUGGCUCAGAUUGAACGCUGGCGGCAGGCCUAACACAUGCAAGUCGAACGGUAACAGGAAGCAGCUUGCUGCUUUGCUGACGAGUGGCGGACGGGUGAGUAAUGUCUGGGAAACUGCCUGAUGGAGGGGGAUAACUACUGGAAACGGUGGCUAAUACCGCAUAAUGUCGCAAGACCAAAGAGGGGGACCUUCGGGCCUCUUGCCAUCAGAUG
Molecule: ribosomal RNA, 230 nt
Filed under: Salmonella enterica
Lineage: Bacteria; Pseudomonadati; Pseudomonadota; Gammaproteobacteria; Enterobacterales; Enterobacteriaceae
Also listed under: 3 other names
Description: partial 16S ribosomal RNA
Rfam family: Bacterial small subunit ribosomal RNA
Source: RNAcentral